AGCCACUUCGGUUGUGGUUAUA
RNAcentral lists this microRNA (22 nucleotides) under Caenorhabditis briggsae. RNAcentral's name for it is "Cbr-Mir-7580-P1_5p* (star (passenger))". Lineage: Eukaryota; Metazoa; Nematoda; Chromadorea; Rhabditida; Rhabditidae. The record is from RNAcentral.